GUCAAUGGCCACACCACCCUGAACACACCGAGUCCAGUCUGAUCUGGGAAGCUAAGCAGGUGCGGAGAAAGACUGCCUCCUUAUACCCAGGUGCUGUAGGCU
Ribosomal RNA from Ursus americanus (American black bear), 102 nucleotides. The record is from Ensembl. NCBI's taxonomy places the organism in Eukaryota, Metazoa, Chordata, Mammalia, Carnivora, Ursidae.